RNAcentral lists this transfer RNA (507 nucleotides) under Symbiochloris sp. SG-2018. RNAcentral describes it as "tRNA-Leu". Lineage: Eukaryota; Viridiplantae; Chlorophyta; Trebouxiophyceae; Trebouxiales; Trebouxiaceae. The record is from RNAcentral.
GGGGAUGUGGCGGAAUUGGUAGACGCUGCGGACUUAAAAUUUGAGCCUUUUUAAAGAAAUUUAAAAAGUGCCUGCUCACAAAAUCAGGGAAAUAUGUUUAACUGAAUUCUUUAAAUUCAGGUUUUAUAAAUUCUUUUAAAAUUUCCGAAUUUUAAAAUAAACACUUGGCGUACGCCAAAAAAUUAAUCCUGAGCCAAAUAAUUUAUAAAUAAAUUAGAGGUGCAGAGACUUGACGAGAGCUAUGCUGUUUUAUUUUAAAGCAUAAAGGUAAAGUCCAAUAUAUAUGUUUUUUGCAGCUUGGCUGCAGUAAUUUGAAAAACUCUGACCAAGAACUAGAAGAUGCAACGUAAAACUGUCAUUAAAGUUGUGUUAUUUAAAUUCCAACUUCACUGCAGUUUACCCUAGUUUAGUAUGUCUUCAGUUUUUUCUAAGGAAGUUAAACAAAUUUAUUAUUGAAAAUCCGUUGGUUUUUGCUAACCGUGAGGGUUCAAGUCCCUCCAUCCCCAC